RNAcentral lists this ribosomal RNA (411 nucleotides) under bacterium enrichment culture clone ALO1_GLFRUDD03G7HUQ. RNAcentral's name for it is "bacterial SSU rRNA". It matches the Rfam family "Bacterial small subunit ribosomal RNA", at positions 9 to 417 of the family's 1533-position model. The record is from RNAcentral.
GAGUUUGAUCCUGGCUCAGAUUGAACGCUGGCGGCAUGCCUUACACAUGCAAGUCGAACGGCAGCACGGGAGCUUGCUCCUGGUGGGCGAGUGGCGAACGGGUGAGUAAUGCAUCGGAACGUAUCCUGGAGUGGGGGGAUAACGUAGCGAAAGUUACGCUAAUACCGCAUAUUCUGUGAGCAGGAAAGCGGGGGACCUUCGGGCCUCGCGCUCUUGGAGCGGCCGAUGUCGGAUUAGCUAGUUGGUGAGGUAAAGGCUCACCAAGGCGACGAUCCGUAGCAGGUCUGAGAGGAUGAUCUGCCACACUGGAACUGAGACACGGUCCAGACUCCUACGGGAGGCAGCAGUGGGGAAUUUUGGACAAUGGGGGCAACCCGUGAUCCAGCCAUGCCGCGUGAGUGAAGAAGGCCU